RNAcentral lists this ribosomal RNA (252 nucleotides) under uncultured bacterium. RNAcentral describes it as "partial 16S ribosomal RNA". It matches the Rfam family "Bacterial small subunit ribosomal RNA", at positions 524 to 776 of the family's 1533-position model. The record is from RNAcentral.
UACGUAGGGUGCAAGCGUUGUCCGGAAUUAUUGGGCGUAAAGAGCGUGUAGGCGGCCCCCAUUAGUCCGCUGUGAAAGUCCAGGGCUCAACCCUGGAAUGCCGGUGGAUACUGUGGGGCUAGAGUCGAGGGACGGAGUGGAAUUCCUGGUGUAGCGGUGAAAUGCGCAGAUAUCAGGAGGAACACCAAUGGCGAAGGCAGCUCGCUGGGACGUGACUGACGCUGAGACGCGAAAGCGUGGGGAUCAAACAGG